GCCAGGCGUGGUGGUGCAUGCCUGUAAUCCUAGCUACUUGGGAGGCUGAGGCAUGAGAAUCGCUUGAACCCAGGAGGUGGAGGUUGCAGUGAGCCGAGAUCAUGCCACUGUACUCCAGCCUGGGGGACAGAGUGAGACUGUGUCUCAA
This 148-nucleotide non-coding RNA is filed under the name Pongo abelii (Sumatran orangutan). The record is from Rfam by way of RNAcentral. Lineage: Eukaryota; Metazoa; Chordata; Mammalia; Primates; Hominidae.